GACGAACGCUGGCGGCGUGCUUAACACAUGCAAGUCGAGCGGUAAGGCCCUUUCGGGGGUACGACGAGCGGCGAACGGGUGAGUAACACGUGGGUGACCUGCCCUCAGCUCUGGGAUAAGCCUGGGAAACCGGGUCUAAUACCGGAUAUGACUCCAUGACGCAUGUUGUGGGGUGGAAAGCCUUGUGCGGCUGAGGAUGGGCCCGCGGCCUAUCAGCUUGUUGGUGGGGGAUGGCCUACCAAGGCGACGACGGGUAGCCGGCCUGAGAGGGCGACCGGCCACACUGGGACUGAGACACGGCCCAGACUCCUACGGGAGGCAGCAGUGGGGAAUCUUGCGCAAUGGGCGAAAGCCUGACGCAGCGACGCCGCGUGAGGGAUGACGGCCUGGUUGUAACGU
Molecule: ribosomal RNA, 399 nt
Filed under: uncultured bacterium
Lineage: Bacteria
Description: bacterial SSU rRNA
Rfam family: Bacterial small subunit ribosomal RNA
Source: RNAcentral